Molecule: ribosomal RNA, 253 nt
Filed under: uncultured bacterium
Lineage: Bacteria
Description: partial 16S ribosomal RNA
Rfam family: Bacterial small subunit ribosomal RNA
Source: RNAcentral
UACGUAGGGGGCAAGCGUUAUCCGGAUUUACUGGGUGUAAAGGGAGCGCAGACGGCAGUGCAAGUCUGGAGUGAAAGGCGGGGGCCCAACCCCCGGACUGCUCUGGAAACUAUGUUACUAGAGUGCAGGAGAGGUAAGCGGAAUUCCUAGUGUAGCGGUGAAAUGCGUAGAUAUUAGGAGGAACACCAGUGGCGAAGGCGGCUUACUGGACUGUAACUGACGUUGAGGCUCGAAAGCGUGGGGAGCAAACAGG